CCUACGGGAGGCAGCAGUAGGGAAUAUUGCUCAAUGGGGGAAACCCUGAAGCAGCAACGCCGCGUGGAGGAUGAAGGUUUUCGGAUUGUAAACUCCUUUUGUUAGAGAAGAUAAUGACGGUAUCUAACGAAUAAGCACCGGCUAACUCCGUGCCAGCAGCAGCGGUAAUACGGAGGGUGCAAGCGUUAUUCGGAAUCACUGGGCGUAAAGAGCGCGUAGGCGGGAUAGCAAGUCAGAUGUGAAAUCCUAUGGCUUAACCAUAGAACUGCAUUUGAAACUGUUGUUCUAGAGUAUGGGAGAGGUAGGUGGAAUUCUUGGUGUAGCGGUGAAAUGCGUAGAGAUCAAGAAGAAUACUGAUGGCGAAGGCGGCCUGCUGGAACAUAACUGACGCUGAUGCGCGAAAGCGUGGGGAGCAAACAGGAUUAGAUACCCGUGUAGUC
This 440-nucleotide ribosomal RNA is filed under the name uncultured bacterium. Its description in RNAcentral is "partial 16S ribosomal RNA". It matches the Rfam family "Bacterial small subunit ribosomal RNA", at positions 338 to 795 of the family's 1533-position model. The record is from RNAcentral.